AGAUUGUCAACGUUAGCUUGAAUGGCUGAUGACUGUAGAGUCCUCAGGAACUUGAGAGGUUUCACUCUAAAGUCAGUAUUAGAGUAUUCGUCUUGUUGAUGUGGAAAACCGCAUUGGCUCACAGUUCCUAAAUUAUCCAGCCUUGAAAAAGCAAAAAUGAAAUCUAUCAGAAAUGUGGCUGCAGGACAUCGUUCUAUCAGCUCUUUCGAAGUGAUGGUCUCAGCUCUCUUCAUGGUGCUCAUGGUCCUCUCUGUUGGGUUAAUUGUGGUGUCCUGGCUGGCAGUUAAGGAAUCAGAAACAGAUGCAGCAGCACUGGGGAAAAGCCAUGAAGUCAGAGGGAGAUUUAAAAUAACAUCCGGAGUGACA
Molecule: long non-coding RNA, 366 nt
Filed under: Rattus norvegicus (Norway rat)
Lineage: Eukaryota; Metazoa; Chordata; Mammalia; Rodentia; Muridae
Description: long non-coding RNA NONRATT006822
Source: RNAcentral